Molecule: ribosomal RNA, 404 nt
Filed under: uncultured bacterium
Lineage: Bacteria
Description: bacterial SSU rRNA
Rfam family: Bacterial small subunit ribosomal RNA
Source: RNAcentral
UGGGGAAUAUUGCACAAUGGGGGAAACCCUGAUGCAGCAAUGCCGCGUGGGUGAAGAAGCACUCCGGUGCGUAAAGCCCUGUCAGCAGGGAAGAAAAUGACAGUACCUGACCAAGAAGCCCCGGCUAACUACGUGCCAGCAGCCGCGGUAAUACGUAGGGGGCAAGCGUUAUCCGGAUUUACUGGGUGUAAAGGGAGCGCAGGCGGUAUGGCAAGUCAGAUGUGAAAACCCAGGGCUCAACCCUGGGACUGCAUUUGAAACUGCCAUACUGGAGUGCCGGAGAGGUAAGUGGAAUUCCUAGUGUAGCGGUGAAAUGCGUAGAUAUUAGGAGGAACACCAGUGGCGAAGGCGGCUUACUGGACGGUAACUGACGCUGAGGCUCGAAAGCGUGGGGAGCAAACAGG